Molecule: ribosomal RNA, 243 nt
Filed under: uncultured Actinomycetales bacterium
Lineage: Bacteria; Bacillati; Actinomycetota; Actinomycetes; Actinomycetales
Description: partial 16S ribosomal RNA
Rfam family: Bacterial small subunit ribosomal RNA
Source: RNAcentral
UACUCGAGUGGCGAACGGGUGAGUAACACGUGGGUGAUCUGCCCUGCACUUCGGGAUGAGCUUGGGAAACUGGGUCUAAUACCGGACAGGAGCCAUCUUUAGUGUGGUGGUUGGAAAGUUUUUUCGGUGUAGGAUGAGCUCGCGGCCUAUCAGCUUGUUGGUGGGGUAAUGGCCUACCAAGGCGGCGACGGGUAGCCGGCCUGAGAGGGUGUACGGCCACAUUGGGACUGAGAUACGGCCCAG